This 436-nucleotide small RNA is filed under the name Proteus vulgaris. RNAcentral's name for it is "cspA". It matches the Rfam family "cspA thermoregulator". Lineage: Bacteria; Pseudomonadati; Pseudomonadota; Gammaproteobacteria; Enterobacterales; Morganellaceae. The record is from RNAcentral.
ACUGGUUUGGAAGUACAGACCUAUUUAUGUUAGUGCAGUUUUAAGUAGUUCACCGUUUAGCGUUAUCCAUGAUACCUCUUCGUUGCGAAUUCCUUCAAAUAGUGACCAUAAGUAAAAUCCGAAAUCAAACCGCACACAAUGCCUUAUGGCAAAAUAAUUAAUUAAAGGAAAUCUUAUGUCUAAUACAAUGACUGGUACAGUAAAAUGGUUUAACGAUGAUAAAGGCUUCGGUUUUAUCACUCCUAAAGAUGGUAGCAAAGACGUAUUCGUACACUUUUCAGCGAUCCAAAGCGAAAGCUUCAAAUCUCUGAAAGAAGGCCAAGAAGUUUCAUUUUCUAUUGAAAAUGGCGCUAAAGGCCCAGCAGCAGCGAACGUAAUCGCUCUGUAAUAUUGAGUCAUUAUUGCAGUAAAUAUUGCUUAAUGCAGUAUUAAUACU